This 482-nucleotide ribosomal RNA is filed under the name uncultured bacterium. RNAcentral's name for it is "partial 16S ribosomal RNA". It matches the Rfam family "Bacterial small subunit ribosomal RNA", at positions 30 to 507 of the family's 1533-position model. The record is from RNAcentral.
AUUGAACGCUGGCGGCAUGCCUUACACAUGCAAGUCGAACGGUAACGGGCCUUCGGGUGCCGCCGAGUGGCGAACGGGUGAGUAAUACAUCGGAACGUGCCCGAUCGUGGGGGAUAACGAGGCGAAAGCUUUGCUAAUACCGCAUACGAUCUACGGAUGAAAGCAGGGGACCGCAAGGCCUUGCGCGGACGGAGCGGCCGAUGGCAGAUUAGGUAGUUGGUGGGAUAAAAGCUUACCAAGCCGACGAUCUGUAGCUGGUCUGAGAGGAUGAUCAGCCACACUGGAACUGAGACACGGCCCAGACUCCUACGGGAGGCAGCAGUGGGGAAUUUUGGACAAUGGGCGCAAGCCUGAUCCAGCCAUGCCGCGUGCAGGAUGAAGGCCUUCGGGUUGUAAACUGCUUUUGUACGGAACGAAAAGCCUUCUUUUAAUACAGGAGGGUCAUGACGGUACCGUAAGAAUAAGCACCGGCUAACUACGUG